This 253-nucleotide ribosomal RNA is filed under the name uncultured bacterium. RNAcentral describes it as "partial 16S ribosomal RNA". It matches the Rfam family "Bacterial small subunit ribosomal RNA", at positions 524 to 776 of the family's 1533-position model. The record is from RNAcentral.
UACGAAGGGGGCUAGCGUUGCUCGGAAUCACUGGGCGUAAAGCGCACGUAGGCGGCUUCUUAAGUCAGGGGUGAAAUCCUGGAGCUCAACUCCAGAACUGCCUUUGAUACUGAGAAGCUUGAGUCCGGGAGAGGUGAGUGGAACUCCGAGUGUAGAGGUGAAAUUCGUAGAUAUUCGGAAGAACACCAGUGGCGAAGGCGGCUCACUGGCCCGGUACUGACGCUGAGGUGCGAAAGCGUGGGGAGCAAACAGG